This 62-nucleotide transfer RNA is filed under the name Formica rufa. RNAcentral describes it as "tRNA-Thr". Lineage: Eukaryota; Metazoa; Arthropoda; Insecta; Hymenoptera; Formicidae. The record is from RNAcentral.
ACUUAUAUAGUUUAAUCUAAAACAUUAAUUUUGUAAAUUAAAAAUAUUCUUAAUUAUAGGUA